CCUGCCCCCCACAGCCGCCAGCGCAGAGCCACGCGCUGCCACCUUCUUUUUCACAGUCAUCUUUCAUGAUAAGUUAUUGUAGAAGAAUUUAGGUUUGGAAAUGGGUCUUGAUAUGAAAGCCAGUGAGAGAGAAAGAGCAAAAAGAUUGAACAGGAGAAUCUGGAACCAGGAGUGAGCAGAGCUGGCCCCAGGCCUUGGUGGCUGUGUACUAGUUCUGUGACCUGCAAUCAGUCACUUAACUUCUGUGAGCUCCUCUCUUUCCGUCUGUAAAAAAGGAAUAUGUACUACCCACUUCCUGAGUAGAUGUUGAAGAUGUUGUAAAAGGUUCGAGUCAACCAAUUAAAAGCAAUAGAUCACAUGAAGAUGAGUAUAUCUUCUGUUUGUUGGGACAUAAUCCAGAGAGGAUCUUUCUCCCCAGAUAUUAUGGGAUGGCCAC
RNAcentral lists this long non-coding RNA (436 nucleotides) under Homo sapiens (human). Its description in RNAcentral is "HSALNT0167912". Lineage: Eukaryota; Metazoa; Chordata; Mammalia; Primates; Hominidae. The record is from RNAcentral.